Molecule: ribosomal RNA, 429 nt
Filed under: bacterium
Lineage: Bacteria
Description: partial 16S ribosomal RNA
Rfam family: Bacterial small subunit ribosomal RNA
Source: RNAcentral
UAGGGAAUCUUCCACAAUGGACGCAAGUCUGAUGGAGCAACGCCGCGUGAGUGAAGAAGGCUUUCGGAUCGUAAAGCUCUGUUGUUGGUGAAGAAGGAUAGAGGCAGUAACUGGUCUUUAUUUGACGGUAAUCAACCAGAAAGUCACGGCUAACUACGUGCCAGCAGCCGCGGUAAUACGUAGGUGGCAAGCGUUGUCCGGAUUUAUUGGGCGUAAAGCGAGCGCAGGCGGAAUGAUAAGUCUGAUGUGAAAGCCCACGGCUCAACCGUGGAACUGCACCGGAAACUGUCAUUCUUGAGUGCAGAAGAGGAGAGUGGAAUUCCAUGUGUAGCGGUGAAAUGCGUAGAUAUAUGGAAGAACACCAGUGGCGAAGGCGGCUCUCUGGUCUGCAACUGACGCUGAGGCUCGAAAGCAUGGGUAGCGAACAGG